This 21-nucleotide non-coding RNA is filed under the name Caenorhabditis elegans. Lineage: Eukaryota; Metazoa; Nematoda; Chromadorea; Rhabditida; Rhabditidae. The record is from RNAcentral.
UUCUCUCUGUUUGCAAUUUUU